CUGCUGGCCAGUGCUGCAGGUCUGCUGAGCAGGCCAUUGAACUCUGCUGGGUCUUAUUCCCUCAUAUGAAGCAGAUGCAGGAGCAGUGCCCCCUUCAUGGUGUCUACUGGACUCCAUCAGCUCAAGUUCCUGGCACACAAUAGAUCGCUC
Molecule: long non-coding RNA, 150 nt
Organism: Microtus oregoni (creeping vole)
Lineage: Eukaryota; Metazoa; Chordata; Mammalia; Rodentia; Cricetidae
Exons: 3
Source: RefSeq, a predicted model, not a curated record